This is a long non-coding RNA of Diceros bicornis minor, 248 nucleotides long. RefSeq lists it as uncharacterized. NCBI's taxonomy places the organism in Eukaryota, Metazoa, Chordata, Mammalia, Perissodactyla, Rhinocerotidae. The transcript is spliced from 2 exons. The record is from RefSeq and is a predicted model, not a curated record.
UGUGUACAUUACUUCAAUAGUCUACGGUUUCUCCUGCUCUGGAACUGUACAGACUAACCAGGACCAGAUACUGAGGCAAGAAAUGUCAGUAGGAAGAACAGAAUGAGAAUCUGCUUAUUCAACAACAUUUUGUGCUGGCUUUAUUUUUGAUGCUGGGGAUUCAGUGAUGAUAAAAUAAAAGUACGCUUGCAAUGGAGCUUACAGUAUUGUGGAGUUCAAGAAAUAAAAAUGUUAUUUUAUGUUUCUAA